CCGUGCUAAGCGGGGAGCUAGCGGCACCCUGUACUCGCAAUCCGCUAUAGCGAGGCUGAACUCCCGUCCUAGGGGCGGCGGCUGCAAGGCCUGCCUCAAGGAAUUGGUGUUGACGUUCGGGUCCUACGCAAUAGGAACCUGCGAACCCUGUCAGGUCCGGAAGGAAGCAGCAGUAAGCAGUAAUUCUUGUGUGCCGUAGGGAAGCCUGGGCUGAGCCAUGAACUUGAGUAACGCUUGGGACCGCCGUCACAAAGACGGGUGCACGG
Molecule: signal recognition particle RNA, 266 nt
Filed under: Aciduricibacillus chroicocephali
Lineage: Bacteria; Bacillati; Bacillota; Bacilli; Caryophanales; Bacillaceae
Description: Bacillaceae bacterium 44XB signal recognition particle sRNA large type
Rfam family: Bacterial large signal recognition particle RNA
About the family: The signal recognition particle (SRP) is a universally conserved ribonucleoprotein involved in the co-translational targeting of proteins to membranes. Archaeal SRP consists of a 7S RNA and homologues of the eukaryotic SRP19 and SRP54 proteins.
Source: RNAcentral